RNAcentral lists this ribosomal RNA (433 nucleotides) under uncultured bacterium. RNAcentral's name for it is "partial 16S ribosomal RNA". It matches the Rfam family "Bacterial small subunit ribosomal RNA", at positions 29 to 507 of the family's 1533-position model. The record is from RNAcentral.
AGCGAACGCUGGCGGCAGGCCUAACACAUGCAAGUCGAACGAACUCUUCGUAGUUAGUUGCUGACGGGUGAGUAACACGGGGGAACGUGCCUUUUGGCUCGGGAUAACUCAGGGUAAUUUGGGCUAAUACCGAAUGAGUCCCUCUGGUGAAACAUUGGACGCCAUUGUAGCGGCCCGAGUCUGAUGAGCCUGCUGGUGAUGUAAGAGCUCACCAAGGCGUCGCUCAGUAGCGGGUUUGAGAGGAUGACCAGCGACACUGGGACUGAGCAACGGCCCAGAAUCCUACGGGAGGCAGCAGAGGCGAAUCCUGCGAAAUGGGGGGAAGGAUGACGGAGCCAGGGCGCGUGAAUGAUGAAGGUCUUAGGAUUGUAAAAUUCUUUCACCGGGGACGAUAAUGACGGUACCCGGAGAAGAAGCCCCGGCUAACUUCGUG